UUACUUAGCUGGCAGGGGAGAACAUGAUCGAGAAGGUCGUUUACCCAGGGUGAGGCUCAGCCAUUGCACUCCGGUUGUGCUGACCCCCUGCAAAUUCCCCAAAUGUGUGAACUUUCACUGCAUAAUUUCUGUAUUUGUCGCACCCUCUGACUUCUUUGGAGCGGCA
This is a small nuclear RNA of Larimichthys crocea (large yellow croaker), 166 nucleotides long. Its record names the gene U1. It matches the Rfam family "U1 spliceosomal RNA". From Rfam's summary of the family: U1 is a small nuclear RNA (snRNA) component of the spliceosome (involved in pre-mRNA splicing). Its 5' end forms complementary base pairs with the 5' splice junction, thus defining the 5' donor site of an intron. There are significant differences in sequence and secondary structure between metazoan and yeast U1 snRNAs, the latter being much longer (568 nucleotides as compared to 164 nucleotides in human). The record is from Ensembl. Lineage: Eukaryota; Metazoa; Chordata; Actinopteri; Sciaenidae.